RNAcentral lists this ribosomal RNA (301 nucleotides) under uncultured bacterium. RNAcentral describes it as "partial 16S ribosomal RNA". It matches the Rfam family "Bacterial small subunit ribosomal RNA", at positions 509 to 809 of the family's 1533-position model. The record is from RNAcentral.
CAGCAGCCGCGGUAAUACGUAGGGCGCAAGCGUUAUCCGGAAUUAUUGGGCGUAAAGAGCUCGUAGGCGGUUUGUCGCGUCUGCCGUGAAAGUCCGGGGCUCAACCCCGGAUCUGCGGUGGGUACGGGCAGACUAGAGUGAUGUAGGGGAGACUGGAAUUCCUGGUGUAGCGGUGAAAUGCGCAGAUAUCAGGAGGAACACCGAUGGCGAAGGCAGGUCUCUGGGCAUUAACUGACGCUGAGGAGCGAAAGCAUGGGGAGCGAACAGGAUUAGAUACCCGUGUAGUCCCUGUCUCUUAUAA